UACAGAGGUGGCAAGCGUUGUUCGGAAUUACUGGGCGUAAAGGGCGCGUAGGCGGUCUUGUAAGUCCCGUGUGAAAUCCCUCGGCUCAACUGAGGAACUGCACGGGGAAACUGCUUGGCUUGAGUUCGGGAGAGGGAAGCGGAAUUCCGGGUGUAGCGGUGAAAUGCGUAGAUAUCCGGAGGAACACCGGUGGCGAAGGCGGCUUCCUGGACCGACACUGACGCUGAGGCGCGAAAGCGUGGGGAGCGAACAGG
This 254-nucleotide ribosomal RNA is filed under the name uncultured bacterium. RNAcentral describes it as "partial 16S ribosomal RNA". It matches the Rfam family "Bacterial small subunit ribosomal RNA", at positions 524 to 776 of the family's 1533-position model. The record is from RNAcentral.